This is a long non-coding RNA of Cercocebus atys (sooty mangabey), 749 nucleotides long. RefSeq lists it as uncharacterized. NCBI's taxonomy places the organism in Eukaryota, Metazoa, Chordata, Mammalia, Primates, Cercopithecidae. The record is from RefSeq and is a predicted model, not a curated record. The transcript is spliced from 4 exons.
GUCUUCAUCAGAGGGCAUGUCUCCUGGCAAGGGGGCAUUUGCUGCCUGCUGCCCAGCUCUGAGCAACAGCCCGGAGCCCUGCUGGCUGCUCUCCGCACCCUGAAGCCGGCUCUGAGUUCGACCAAUGCUCAGCCUUCGCUGGUGCGGCCAGGGCUCUCAUCUGCUGCUUCCAUUUCAGUUCAAGUUCAAACUUGAACACUUGUACAAAGACUCCUUGGAUGAUCUGCUUGUGCUAUUGGAGCAUUUCCUCCUUGCUGGCUGACACAAUGGCAAGCUUUGUCAGUGAAGAGUGCCGAAGAGACACUGCAAGAGGAAGGGGCUUCUCUCCCAGUUCCAGGGUCAGAGGCCUCAUCUUCCUAGAAGUUCAUUCUUCAGAUUGUCAGCAACAAUGUCCAUGAAAAUGAGGUACACCACUUCCUUCAGGCCUGGAGGUGAGGCACUCCUGGUCCUCCUUUUUUUUUUUUUUUCCUUCACCUGUUGGUUGGCUGAAUGCAGAGAGGUCUCAGCCGAGGACUUAGGGAGGCCCUGAAAGAUGAUGGAACCACAAAAUUGGUGGCAUGGUGAUAUAGUUUGAAUAUGUAUCCCUGUGAAAUCUCAUGUUGAAUUGUAAUCCCCAGUGUUGGAAGUGGGACCUGGUGGCAGGUGAUUGGGUCAUGGAGAGGAUCCCUCGUGGUUUGGUGUUGUCCUUGCAUUAGUGAGUUCUCGUGAAAUCUGGUUGUUUAAGAAUGUUACCCAUGCCCUCCAUUCUC